GACGAACGCUGGCGGCGUGCUUAACACAUGCAAGUCGAACGGAAAGGCCCUGCUUUUGUGGGGUGCUCGAGUGGCGAACGGGUGAGUAACACGUGAGUAACCUGCCCUUUACUUUGGGAUAACUUCAGGAAACUGGGGCUAAUACCGGAUAGGAGCUCCUGCUGCAUGGUGGGGGUUGGAAAGUUUCGGCGGUUGGGGAUGGACUCGCGGCUUAUCAGCUUGUUGGUGGGGUAGUGGCUUACCAAGGCUUUGACGGGUAGCCGGCCUGGGAGGGUGACCGGCCACAUUGGGACUGCGGUACGGCCCAGACUCCUGCGGGAGGCAGCAGUGGGGAAUAUUGCACAAUGGGCGGAAGCCUGAUGCAGCAACGCCGCGUGCGGGAUGACGGCCUUCGGGUUGUAAACCGCUUUCGCCUGUGACGAAGCGUGAGUGACGGUAAUGGGUAAAGAAGCACCGGCUAACUACGUG
Molecule: ribosomal RNA, 468 nt
Filed under: uncultured bacterium
Lineage: Bacteria
Description: partial 16S ribosomal RNA
Rfam family: Bacterial small subunit ribosomal RNA
Source: RNAcentral